This 253-nucleotide ribosomal RNA is filed under the name uncultured bacterium. Its description in RNAcentral is "partial 16S ribosomal RNA". It matches the Rfam family "Bacterial small subunit ribosomal RNA", at positions 524 to 776 of the family's 1533-position model. The record is from RNAcentral.
UACGUAGGGGGCAAGCGUUGUCCGGAAUCAUUGGGCGUAAAGAGCGUGUAGGCGGCCCGGUAAGUCCGCUGUGAAAGUCCAGGGCUCAACCCUGGGAUGCCGGUGGAUACUGUCGGGCUCGAGUCCGGAAGAGGAGUGUGGAAUUCCUGGUGUAGCAGUGAAAUGCGCAGAUAUCAGGAGGAACACCAAUGGCGAAGGCAGCACUCUGGGACGUGACUGACGCUGAGACGCGAAAGCGUGGGGAGCAAACAGG